CCAAAGGCUCUUUUCAGAGCCACCCACAGUCUCGAUAAGGAGCUGG
Molecule: non-coding RNA, 46 nt
Organism: Colius striatus (speckled mousebird)
Lineage: Eukaryota; Metazoa; Chordata; Aves; Coliiformes; Coliidae
Source: Rfam